AUUUUUUUUGUUGACAUACUUUUACCCGCAUUUUGAUUCGUAUAGUAAGUGAAAAUAAGUUCCAGUCCGCUUAUCGUUAAAUAAUAUACUUAAUUACAGUGGUUAUGAGCUCCCCAGAUAUGAUGUGGAGCUAUGAGAAUCCCACCAUUGGCGAUGUCGACUGUGUCAAUGAUGGCCUUGUAAAUUCAGUUCAGACACAUCUCUUCAUUGAUUUCCUUUCUGUUUGGAGGAACAAUAUAUAGAUGAGUGCUGUUGGCAGCAGGUGCCUUCGGGUCAACAGAAUUGAUGGGUCAUGCGAUCUACAGUCUACACCAGCCACAAGGCAAUUCCGUGAGGAAUGAAUAGAAUGAUAAAAUAUAAAAA
Molecule: long non-coding RNA, 363 nt
Organism: Armigeres subalbatus
Lineage: Eukaryota; Metazoa; Arthropoda; Insecta; Diptera; Culicidae
Exons: 3
Source: RefSeq, a predicted model, not a curated record